GCCGCGGUAAUACGUAGGGUGCAAGCGUUGUCCGGAAUUAUUGGGCGUAAAGAGCUCGUAGGCGGUUUGUCGCGUCUGCUGUGAAAUCCCGAGGCUCAACCUCGGGCUUGCAGUGGGUACGGGCAGACUAGAGUGCGGUAGGGGAGAUUGGAAUUCCUGGUGUAGCGGUGGAAUGCGCAGAUAUCAGGAGGAACACCGAUGGCGAAGGCAGAUCUCUGGGCCGUAACUGACGCUGAGGAGCGAAAGCAUGGGGAGCGAACAGGAUUAGAUACCCUGGUAGUCCAUGCCGUAAACGUUGGGCGCUAGAUGUAGGGACCUUUCCACGGUUUCUGUGUCGUAGCUAACGCAUUAAGCGCCCCGCCUGGGGAGUACGGCCGCAAG
Molecule: ribosomal RNA, 381 nt
Filed under: Curtobacterium sp.
Lineage: Bacteria; Bacillati; Actinomycetota; Actinomycetes; Micrococcales; Microbacteriaceae
Description: bacterial SSU rRNA
Rfam family: Bacterial small subunit ribosomal RNA
Source: RNAcentral